AGGAAUUUAGGUUAACAAAGACCAAGAGCCUUCAAAGCUCUAAGCAAGUACAAUUUACUUAAUUCCUGAUAAC
RNAcentral lists this transfer RNA (73 nucleotides) under Cryptotis mam. RNAcentral's name for it is "tRNA-Trp". The record is from RNAcentral. Lineage: Eukaryota; Metazoa; Chordata; Mammalia; Eulipotyphla; Soricidae. RNAcentral also lists the same sequence under 2 other names.